UUAAAGCUCAUCCAAUUCCAAUCCCCUGCCACUAGGACAGGUUGCCCCAGGCCCCUGGGCCUGAACAUAACUAUCCAAAGCAAUUCCUGCUGCAGCACCAGGCUGGAAGGGUGACAGAGGGAAAACAAUUCAUUUGAGUCACCUGAACUGAUUUUCAGGCAGGUCAGGCUUAACAGGGCUAGAGAAGAAGUGAUUUGUAAUGUUUGGAGAAAUGAAAUGGUAAUACAUCAGAUGCUGUUUCAUCCUGUAAGAUACUUAUUGCUGCUUUUUAAAUGAAUGUCUAGGUACCAAUAUUUGGGGGAGAUGCUGGACACAGCAUGUAUGGAGGUUUUGCAAUUUCUGGCUCCAAUUUACUCCAGCAAGAAAGUAAAAGGAGUAUUUGUUGGCAAAAAUAAAACCACCUCCUUGAUGUAAAAUACCCUGUCAGGAUCCCACCACUGUUACUCACUGCUAGAGGAAGGAUUUGUUCACGUCUGUGGGUUAGUCCAGAGAAAAAGAUGCUCUGAGCAGCAGAGACCCUCCUUUAGCUCAGUGCGCAUGGCAUAAAGCCCCAUGUUGAAGCCCCAUGGUUAGGGUUUAUUAUUAUUACCAUGGGAUUUUGUUUUACUGCACCUAUUAAAAACUGAGACCACAGCUCUCAGUAGGA
Molecule: long non-coding RNA, 646 nt
Organism: Pezoporus occidentalis (night parrot)
Lineage: Eukaryota; Metazoa; Chordata; Aves; Psittaciformes; Psittacidae
Exons: 2
Source: RefSeq, a predicted model, not a curated record